Branchiostoma belcheri (Belcher's lancelet) is the source of this 1648-nucleotide long non-coding RNA. RefSeq lists it as uncharacterized. The record is from RefSeq and is a predicted model, not a curated record. The transcript is spliced from 3 exons. Lineage: Eukaryota; Metazoa; Chordata; Leptocardii; Amphioxiformes; Branchiostomatidae.
UUGUAUAGUACUGCGAUCGAUGUGCCAGGAAUUCUAAAAAUUCCGCCAAUGCGUCCCCUAGGGAAUUCACUUUUGGCCAUGCCGGUAGCAGCUGUGCCUUGUUUAGACUUCAGUGUCAUUUUAUUUGGGGCGUGUGUGGUAUUCCUAUUUACAUUGUAAGAAUGUUGAUCUUACAGUAUAAUUUUCACAUCUUUCCGCCCACGCAACCCGGAGUUACAUGUAUAACAGUUUUAAAAUCGACGAAAAGCACCCGCGCGUUAUAGUGGACGCGCCGCAUAUAUUAUCAGGCGGUGGUGGAACCCUCCCACGUGACCGCGCCGGCCAAUCAGAACGCUGAGUUUUACAAAACUUUCAUUUAGGUAGCGAUUUUUCUACCCCAGUAUCUCGUUAAAUUUCUCUACAAUGGGAUUAUUUUGAAAGUUCAGAGUUGCGCCAAACUGUCGAGGAGACAUCCCUUCGUCGCUGGUAGGCUAUCGCUGAACACAGCCUGCGGUAUGUCAAGAAGCGAGCCAUAUCUCACAUCAGAUUCAGAGUUUGCAGCCCCACUGCCAGGAAUGGAAACGCUAUGCAGGAUUCAGAUGUCACCAUCAGGAAGAAUUGUCAAUAGCCAAAUAAUUCUACAAUCCCAUACCCACACACGUUUUCUUGUUACAUGUUAAUUCAACUGAAGAAUGUAAUUUCAGUAUGUACCCAAGUGUGAUCAUGACAGUGAACACAGGCAUGUCCCAUCUCUGAUGUUUGGUGUGACAAUGGCGUUCCAGUUAGAAUAUGUUGACCAUUUAGAAUAAAAACAUAUAUCCUGCAACUUUAGGCUUAAGCCAUUGCUUUGUGUAAAUUUCUCACAACAGUUACAAAGAAGACAGUUUUUAUUGCACAAGGAUAAAGAGACUAGCAUUUCAAUUACAAAUACAGUUCCUGCGAUGUUAUGCUUCAGUCAAAAAAUAAGAAUUCCAAUGCUGAGAUAUGUGAAUGAUAAGCUAUUCAUUGCACAGUGAUAUACAAAAAGGAACAUCAGCAUUUUUCACAUCUUCAAUCUAGAUAUAGAUUUCAUGUUUCCCUUCAGUAGAUACUACUGUCCGAGGUCGCAGCUACAAUGAUGAAUGUGUAGUCUAUUUCAGAAAGAGAAUGAAUAGGAUACUGUACAUGUACAUUUUUUUGUACAUGUAUUUGAUUGUGGAGUGGUUAACCAUGGUAAGGCAGGACUUGUGGAGGAAUCCGUGUAACCUGACAGGGAGAAUGUGAACAGUAUACAAAAUGUAAAUACAAUUCUGCAUGUUGGCAAUCUAUUCAUGUAGUCUGUUUUAACGGUAAAUUUAACCUAUAGUCUGUUCACUGUCAUAGUACAGUCAAAAUCCAAUCGAAUCUCUACACAACAACCCUGAGAGGAUGUCACCCCAGCAUGGUGUCCAGUAUAGAGAAGAAUAUCAAUAUAGGACCUAAAACGGUAGAUACAUGUAGUUUAGGGGUAAUCUAACUGAUCAAAUUAUCCACAUCUUACAUACCUUCUAUAAUGCAAACCACAUGUACUAAGCUGGCCAACCAUAUCUAUUUUUUACGUCCAAUAUUAGUUAAUAAGCAUUCUACCCUAUGAUGAAAGGACAACAUAGACUGCUCCAUCAAGUUCAUUCCAUCAUAUUUUCCAGCCACU